This 462-nucleotide ribosomal RNA is filed under the name uncultured bacterium. Its description in RNAcentral is "partial 16S ribosomal RNA". It matches the Rfam family "Bacterial small subunit ribosomal RNA", at positions 28 to 507 of the family's 1533-position model. The record is from RNAcentral.
GACGAACGCUGGCGGCGUGCUUAACACAUGCAAGUCGAGCGGAAAGGCCCUUCGGGGUCCUCGAGCGGCGAACGGGUGAGUAACACGUGAGUAACCUGCCCCAGACUUUGGGAUAACCCUCGGAAACGGGGGCUAAUACCGGAUACGACACAGCUUCGCAUGGGGUCUGUGUGGAAAGUUUUUCGGUUUGGGAUGGGCUCGCGGCCUAUCAGCUUGUUGGUGGGGUGAUGGCCUACCAAGGCGACGACGGGUAGCCGGCCUGAGGGGGCGACCGGCCACACUGGGACUGAGACACGGCCCAGACUCCUACGGGAGGCAGCAGUGGGGAAUAUUGCACAAUGGGCGGAAGCCUGAUGCAGCGACGCCGCGUGAGGGAUGACGGCCUUCGGGUUGUAAACCUCUUUCAGCAGGGACGAAGCGUAAGUGACGGUACCUGCAGAAGAAGCGCCGGCCAACUACGUG